This is a long non-coding RNA of Homo sapiens (human), 1114 nucleotides long. Ensembl annotates it as long intergenic non-protein coding RNA 2175. The record is from Ensembl. NCBI's taxonomy places the organism in Eukaryota, Metazoa, Chordata, Mammalia, Primates, Hominidae.
GGGGCCCCCAGCCCGCGCGCGUGAAGCAGCUAGCCGACCAAGCCCCGGAAGGCGAGUGCCGGAGGGGGCGGGACAGCUCCUCCGGGGCCAGCGGGCACCAGGCUUGGGGGCUGAGGCCCAGCGGCCCGAGACCAACUGGGCUGACCGAGGCCGCCUCCCCGCCAGCCCUGGGGUCCACUGCCCGGGGAGCAGCUCCCUUCCCAGGUCAGACUCGGGCUUCAUCCUCUCUUGCCGCGCGCCGAGCGGUUUUCAACUCUCACUGCUAGAAUUCCUCCAACCACCCAGGAUAGCAGGACCGAGAUACAUGGCCACCCAUGACCCGGAGCGUCCACUUCCAGGGACAGGCAGUGGUGAUUGGCUUCGGUUGUCAUCUGUGCCAUCUGUCCAUGGUUCGAGAAGCUGCUGUUCACGUUUUGGGGAGGAUCAUGGUUUGAGGGCUCCCGUGGUAGAAUUUGGGGAGCUCUCAUAGGCAGAAGGCUGAGAAAAGUUGGUGCUGUGGGAAGUCAACUGGCAGCCGAUGGAGUCGGGACCCGGGAGGAAUGGAAAGGGAACCCAGAUAGGAAGCUACUGCAGUAGGCUCAGAGAGGUGAUGACGGCAGGGCUAAGACAGCGGCCUUGGGCGGUGACUGGGAAGAACGUUGAACACCGUGUUUGGGCUGAAGAAAAGAGCAAGGGAAGAGGUGAGGAACUUCAGAAAGCCAUUGCAAGAACCAGUGGAAUUUAAAGAUGGAUCAAAUUCCUGGGGAGUUGGAUCACUGGAUGCAUAAGGAAAUCCAAACUAAUAAGGAAAAAGUGAAAUAUUCAUUCCUUAGUUAUUGUUAUCUAUAAUAGCUAAAAUUAAAGUAAGAGUGCUGGAUUAAGCCUUGAGGCUGGACCAAGCUCAGAUGUGGGUCUGAGUUUAGAUCACUAGCCUCAAAGCCACCCACAAAAGAGGUAGUUUCUGGUGCCUCUUAGACCUGUGGUUUCCAAGAAGGUAGUCAAGGUAGGGAAGGGCAAAACGAAGUAACUACUGAAGCCAAAUGGUGUGAUGUGAAGGAAGUGUUCCCUUUUGUAGACUGGUAUCAUCAGCUUCCUUGAGGCACCUUUCCUAAUAAUGGAUUGUGAGAAUAACUAA